GCUGACGCUGAACAUUCCCGAGGUCCCCGUUUUACAGGCGCGGAAAUUGAGUUCCGGGAAAGGCAGGGCCCGGAAUGACUCUGCUUCCGACGGGAAUUUKUGAGUGGGGCCACAUCAAGUCGGGAGAUGCAGCUGGGAAUGAAACCCCAGGAACAGCUGGAAGUUCAUCCCUGUCAAUCUGGGCUGCUGCUGCCCAGGUGCCUUUCGGCCGGCAGUGAUGGCCUCAGACGCCCGAGACUGCUCCAGGACGCUUGGCYGCAGCAAGCCAGGGGUGCAUCCCAGACGACCCCAACUCUCUG
Molecule: long non-coding RNA, 299 nt
Filed under: Urocitellus parryii (Arctic ground squirrel)
Lineage: Eukaryota; Metazoa; Chordata; Mammalia; Rodentia; Sciuridae
Description: lncRNA (ENSUPAG00010003910.1)
Source: RNAcentral